AACGAACGCUGGCGGCAGGCCUAACACAUGCAAGUCGAACGCCGUAGCAAUACGGAGUGGCAGACGGGUGAGUAACACGUGGGAACGUACCCUUCGGUUCGGGAUAACUCAGGGAAACUUGAGCUAAUACCGGAUACGUCCGAGAGGAGAAAGAUUUAUCGCCGAGGGAUCGGCCCGCGUCUGAUUAGCUUUGUUGGUGAGGUAACGGCUCACCAAGGCGACGAUCAGUAGCUGGCUGAGAGGAUGAUCAGCCACAUUGGGACUGAGACACGGCCCAAACUCCUACGGGAGGCAGCAGUGGGGAAUAUUGGACAAUGGGCGCAAGCCUGAUCCAGCCAUGCCGCGUGAGUGAUGAAGGCCCUAGGGUUGUAAAGCUCUUUUACCCGGGAAGAUAAUGACGGUACCGCAAGAAUAA
RNAcentral lists this ribosomal RNA (415 nucleotides) under uncultured bacterium. RNAcentral describes it as "bacterial SSU rRNA". It matches the Rfam family "Bacterial small subunit ribosomal RNA", at positions 29 to 489 of the family's 1533-position model. The record is from RNAcentral.